RNAcentral lists this ribosomal RNA (548 nucleotides) under uncultured Glomeromycotina. RNAcentral's name for it is "SSU rRNA". It matches the Rfam family "Eukaryotic small subunit ribosomal RNA", at positions 548 to 1098 of the family's 1831-position model. Lineage: Eukaryota; Fungi; Glomeromycota. The record is from RNAcentral.
UUGGAGGGCAAGUCUGGUGCCAGCAGCCGCGGUAAUUCCAGCUCCAAUAACGUAUAUUAAAGUUGUUGCAGUUAAAAAGCUCGUAGUUGAAUUUCGGGGUCAGCAAGUUGGUCGUGCCACUGGUAUGCACUGGCUUUGCUGAUUCCUCCUUCUUGAAGAACCGUAAUGCCAUUAAGUUGGUGUUGCGGGGAAACAGGACUGUUACUUUGAAAAAAUUAGAGUGUUUAAAGCAGGCUAACGCUUGAAGACAUUAGCAUGGAAUAAUGAAAUAGGACGACGAUCCUAUUUUGUUGGUUUCUAGGAUUGACGUAAUGAUUAAUAGGGAUAGUUGGGGGCAUUAGUAUUCAAUUGUCAGAGGUGAAAUUCUUGGAUUUAUUGAAGACUAACUACUGCGAAAGCAUUUGCCAAGGAUGUUUUCAUUAAUCAAGAACGAAAGUUAGGGGAUCGAAGACGAUCAGAUACCGUCGUAGUCUUAACCAUAAACUAUGCCGACUAGGGAUCGGAUGAUGUUAAUUUUAUAAUGACUCAUUCGGCGCCUUACGGGAAAC